GAUUAAGAACGCAGCGAAAUGCGAUAAGUAAUGUGAAUUGCAGAAUUCAGUGAAUCAUCGAAUCUUUGAACGCACAUUGCGCCCCUUGGUAUUCCGAGGGGCAUGCCUGUUCGAGCGUCAUUAUAACCCCUCAAGCUCAGCUUGGUGUUGGGGCCUGCUGCACUGGCAGCCCUUAAAAUCAGUGGCGGCGCCAUCUGGCUCUAAGCGUAGUAAUUCUUCUCGCUAUGGAGUCCUGGUGGAUGCUUGCCAUCAACCCCCAAUUUUUCUAUGGUUGACCUCGGAUCAGGUAGGGAUACCCGCUGAACUUAAGCAUAUCAAUAAGCGGAGGA
RNAcentral lists this unclassified non-coding RNA (329 nucleotides) under soil metagenome. RNAcentral describes it as "partial contains 5.8S ribosomal RNA, internal transcribed spacer 2, and large subunit ribosomal RNA". The stretch from base 1 to 120 matches the Rfam family "5.8S ribosomal RNA", at positions 35 to 154 of the family's 154-position model. The record is from RNAcentral.